UGGGGAAUAUUGCACAAUGGGCGCAAGCCUGAUGCAGCGACGCCGCGUGAGGGAUGACGGCCUUCGGGUUGUAAACCUCUGUUAGCAGGGAAGAAGAGAAAUUGACGGUACCUGCAGAGAAAGCGCCGGCUAACUACGUGCCAGCAGCCGCGGUAAUACGUAGGUCCCGAGCGUUAUCCGGAUUUAUUGGGCGUAAAGCGAGCGCAGGCGGUUAGAUAAGUCUGAAGUUAAAGGCUGUGGCUUAACCAUAGUACGCUUUGGAAACUGUUUAACUUGAGUGCAGAAGGGGAGAGUGGAAUUCCAUGUGUAGCGGUGAAAUGCGUAGAUAUAUGGAGGAACACCGGUGGCGAAAGCGGCUCUCUGGUCUGUAACUGACGCUGAGGCUCGAAAGCGUGGGGAGCAAACAGGAUUAGAUACCCUGGUAGUCCACGCCGUAAACGAUGAGUGCUAGGUGUUGGGUCCUUUCCGGGACUCAGUGCCGCAGCUAACGCAUUAAGCACUCCGCCUGGGGAGUACGACCGCAAGGUUG
RNAcentral lists this ribosomal RNA (529 nucleotides) under uncultured bacterium. RNAcentral describes it as "bacterial SSU rRNA". It matches the Rfam family "Bacterial small subunit ribosomal RNA", at positions 355 to 896 of the family's 1533-position model. The record is from RNAcentral.